GGGGUUGUGGCUCAGUGGUAGAGCACACGCCUCACACAUAUGCGGCCCUGAGUUUGAUCCUCAGCACCUCA
This 71-nucleotide transfer RNA is filed under the name Ictidomys tridecemlineatus (thirteen-lined ground squirrel). Its description in RNAcentral is "Spermophilus tridecemlineatus (thirteen-lined ground squirrel) tRNA". It matches the Rfam family "tRNA". Rfam says of the family: Transfer RNA (tRNA) molecules are approximately 80 nucleotides in length. Their secondary structure includes four short double-helical elements and three loops (D, anti-codon, and T loops). Further hydrogen bonds mediate the characteristic L-shaped molecular structure. tRNAs have two regions of fundamental functional importance: the anti-codon, which is responsible for specific mRNA codon recognition, and the 3' end, to which the tRNAs corresponding amino acid is attached (by aminoacyl-tRNA synthetases). tRNAs cope with the degeneracy of the genetic code in two manners: having more than one tRNA (with a specific anti-codon) for a particular amino acid; and 'wobble' base-pairing, i.e. permitting non-standard base-pairing at the 3rd anti-codon position. The record is from Rfam by way of RNAcentral. Lineage: Eukaryota; Metazoa; Chordata; Mammalia; Rodentia; Sciuridae.